RNAcentral lists this ribosomal RNA (253 nucleotides) under uncultured bacterium. RNAcentral describes it as "partial 16S ribosomal RNA". It matches the Rfam family "Bacterial small subunit ribosomal RNA", at positions 524 to 776 of the family's 1533-position model. The record is from RNAcentral.
UACAGAGGGUGCGAGCGUUAAUCGGAAUUACUGGGCGUAAAGCGUGCGCAGGCGGUUCGUUGUGUCGGCGGUGAAAGCCCCGGGCUCAACCUGGGAAUGGCCGUUGAAACUGGCGAACUGGAGUGUGGCAGAGGGGGGUGGAAUUCCGCGUGUAGCAGUGAAAUGCGUAGAGAUGCGGAGGAACACCGAUGGCGAAGGCAGCCCCCUGGGUUAACACUGACGCUCAGGCACGAAAGCGUGGGGAGCAAACAGG